GGAGAAAUACCCAAGUUGGCUGAAGGGGCUCCCCUGCUAAGGGAGUAGGCGGCUAAUAGCCGCGCGAGGGUUCGAAUCCCUCUUUCUCCG
Molecule: transfer RNA, 90 nt
Organism: Caldalkalibacillus thermarum TA2.A1
Lineage: Bacteria; Bacillati; Bacillota; Bacilli; Caryophanales; Bacillaceae
Rfam family: tRNA
About the family: Transfer RNA (tRNA) molecules are approximately 80 nucleotides in length.
Source: Rfam